GACGAACGCUGGCGGCGUGGAUUAGGCAUGCAAGUCGAACGGUAGGAUACCUUCGGGUAUCUGAGAGUGGCGAACGGGUGAGUAACACGUAGGUGAUCUACCCUCAAGAUUGGGACAACCCAGGGAAACUUGGGCUAAUACCGGAUGAAAGCAGCAGUGAUGUUGUUUGAAAGGUGGCGUAAGCUGCCGUUUGGGGAUGAGCCUGCGCUCUAUUAGUUAGUUGGCGGGGUAAAGGCCCACCAAGGCGAUGAUAGAUAGGCGGCCUUAACGGGUGGUCGCCCACACUGGGGAUUGAGAUACGGCCCAGACUCCUACGGGAGGCAGCAGUCGAGAAUAGUCUACAAUGGCCGAAAGGCUGAUAGUGCGACGCCGCGUGAACGAAGAAGCCCUUCGGGUGUAAGUCUUUAUAUGUGAGCAGUGCUUUCUAUGUGAACAGCAUGGGGAGAGAGAUAUUAGCAUAUGAAUAAGCAACGGCUAACUCCGUGCC
This 487-nucleotide ribosomal RNA is filed under the name uncultured bacterium. RNAcentral describes it as "bacterial SSU rRNA". It matches the Rfam family "Bacterial small subunit ribosomal RNA", at positions 28 to 509 of the family's 1533-position model. The record is from RNAcentral.